GAAGUACUUUUUGGCUGUAAGAGUUAGGGAUAGUAGUAGUAGUAGUAAUAGUAGUAGUAGUAGUAGGUCAGUGAGUGCGGGAGAGUAGUGAGUAAUUGUCGUGUGAUGGUGAGUGGUGAGUGACUGGUGACUGGAGGUUGAAAUGGAACUCUUAAGAACGUAAGAAGAGGAGAAGGAGGAGGAAGGAAGAAGAAGAAGAAGAAGAAGAGGAAGAAGAAGAAGAA
This is a long non-coding RNA of Portunus trituberculatus (swimming crab), 224 nucleotides long. RefSeq lists it as uncharacterized. Lineage: Eukaryota; Metazoa; Arthropoda; Malacostraca; Decapoda; Portunidae. The transcript is spliced from 2 exons. The record is from RefSeq and is a predicted model, not a curated record.